This 352-nucleotide long non-coding RNA is filed under the name Malus domestica (apple). Its description in RNAcentral is "long non-coding RNA (MDOM_LNC008035)". The record is from RNAcentral. Lineage: Eukaryota; Viridiplantae; Streptophyta; Magnoliopsida; Rosales; Rosaceae.
CUUUUUCAGCCUCGUCAGCACCUGUCACAUGCACACUCAGCUUUGCGGAAAUUACGGGCAAUCUGUCGAAGAUUUCUGGUGAAGUAGAAAGCACGUGAAUCUUACUGUUCAAUCACCGCUCUCCAUAUGCACCAUCAACUCCUCGGGUACCAUAUAUAACUUUGUCAAAGAUCUCUGACAAAGUUUAGGCACGAGAAUUUCGAAGUUCCAGCUACCCUACUAUUACCCAUAAGGGUAAAGGAACAGCACCACUGCUUGACAACUGGAAAGUCCCUAUGUGUGUCGACCUCCGUGUUUUUGCGGCAAGACAGGUUGGCAAGAACGUCCAACCUUUACUCACAUUCGAGAAAAG